GAUGAACGCUGGCGGCGUGCCUAAUACAUGCAAGUCGAGCGAACAGACGAGGAGCUUGCUCCUCUGACGUUAGCGGCGGACGGGUGAGUAACACGUGGAUAACCUACCUAUAAGACUGGGAUAACUUCGGGAAACCGGAGCUAAUACCGGAUAAUAUAUUGAACCGCAUGGUUCAAUAGUGAAAGACGGUUUUGCUGUCACUUAUAGAUGGAUCCGCGCCGCAUUAGCUAGUUGGUAAGGUAACGGCUUACCAAGGCAACGAUGCGUAGCCGACCUGAGAGCGUGAUCGGCCACACUGGAACUGAGACACGGUCCAGACUCCUACGGGAGGCAGCAGUAGGGAAUCUUCCGCAAUGGGCGAAAGCCUGACGGAGCAACGCCGCGUGAGUGAUGAAGGUCUUCGGAUCGUAAAACUCUGUUAUUAGGGAAGAACAAAUGUGUAAGUACCUAUGCACGUCUUGACGGUACCUAAUCAGAAAGCCACGGCUAACUACGUG
RNAcentral lists this ribosomal RNA (497 nucleotides) under uncultured bacterium. RNAcentral describes it as "partial 16S ribosomal RNA". It matches the Rfam family "Bacterial small subunit ribosomal RNA", at positions 28 to 507 of the family's 1533-position model. The record is from RNAcentral.